UGUACCCCGGGGUUGGAGGAACACAGGCCUCCCCAGGCCCCAGGAUUCAGCCUUACUGGACUACCAUCUCUUUCCAAGGGCAGGGCAUGGGGACCUGGAAUGAGAGCAGCCCCAGUUAGAGCAGCCAAAGAUGGCUGAAGAGAGCUGUGCCAGCGUCUAACUGUGACAUCCGGGAAGCAGAAAGAGAAGACCUGUAAGUUCAAGGCCGGAAUAAAAGAAAGAAUAACCCCAGUCGAUAAGGACCUGGCUAUAGAAACUGUGACCACGAGACACCAUCCAGCAACGACAAGAACCACAGCAACAUGCAUCCAUGUGGGCCACGGGGACACUACCAAAGUCUCUGCACGUUUUCUCUAUUCAUUUUCCGCUAUGAAAAUAAAUUACAAAGGCAGUCUAGGUUA
Molecule: long non-coding RNA, 401 nt
Organism: Grammomys surdaster
Lineage: Eukaryota; Metazoa; Chordata; Mammalia; Rodentia; Muridae
Exons: 2
Source: RefSeq, a predicted model, not a curated record